UACGUAGGUGGCAGGCGUUAUCCGGAAUUAUUGGGUGUAAAGGGUGUGUAGGCGGGGCUUUAAGUCAGACGUGAAAUCAAGGGCUCAACCCUUGACUUGCGUUUGAAACUGGAGCUCUUGAGAGUGGGAUAUGUAAACGGAAUUCCUGGUGUAGCGGUGAAAUGCGUAGAUAUCAGGAGGAACACCGGUGGCGAAGGCGGUUUACUGGACCACAACUGACGCUGAGACAUGAAAGCGUGGGGAGCAAACA
Molecule: ribosomal RNA, 250 nt
Filed under: uncultured prokaryote
Description: partial 16S ribosomal RNA
Rfam family: Bacterial small subunit ribosomal RNA
Source: RNAcentral